This 493-nucleotide ribosomal RNA is filed under the name Desulfomicrobium escambiense. Its description in RNAcentral is "bacterial SSU rRNA". It matches the Rfam family "Bacterial small subunit ribosomal RNA", at positions 48 to 525 of the family's 1533-position model. The record is from RNAcentral. Lineage: Bacteria; Pseudomonadati; Thermodesulfobacteriota; Desulfovibrionia; Desulfovibrionales; Desulfomicrobiaceae.
CUAACACAUGCAAGUCGUACGAGAAAGGGCUUCGGCCCUGAGUAGAGUGGCGCACGGGUGAGUAACGCGUGGGUAAUCUGCCCUUGGAUUUGGAAUAACUCCGCGAAAGUGGAGCUAAUACCGGAUAGUCUGGCUUUUUAACGAAGUCGGUAAAGGAUGCCUCUGCAUAUGCAUUCGUCCGAGGAUGAGCCCGCGUCUCAUUAGCUAGUUGGUAGGGUAAUGGCCUACCAAGGCAACGAUGAGUAGCUGGUCUGAGAGGAUGAUCAGCCACACUGGAACUGAAACACGGUCCAGACUCCUACGGGAGGCAGCAGUGGGGAAUAUUGCGCAAUGGGCGAAAGCCUGACGCAGCAACGCCGUGUGAGGGAUGAAGGCUUUCGGGUCGUAAACCUCUGUCGGAAGGGAAGAACGGGCAUUGGUCUAAUAGGCCUUUGUUUUGACGGUACCUUUAGAGGAAGCACCGGCUAACUCCGUGCCAGCAGCCGCGGUAAUA